UAGGGAAUCUUCCACAAUGGGCGCAAGCCUGAUGGAGCAACACCGCGUGAGUGAAGAAGGGUUUCGGCUCGUAAAGCUCUGUUGUUAAAGAAGAACACGUAUGAGAGUAACUGUUCAUACGUUGACGGUAUUUAACCAGAAAGUCACGGCUAACUACGUGCCAGCAGCCGCGGUAAUACGUAGGUGGCAAGCGUUGUCCGGAUUUAUUGGGCGUAAAGGGAACGCAGGCGGUCUUUUAAGUCUGAUGUGAAAGCCUUCGGCUUAACCGGAGUAGUGCAUUGGAAACUGGAAGACUUGAGUGCAGAAGAGGAGAGUGGAACUCCAUGUGUAGCGGUGAAAUGCGUAGAUAUAUGGAAGAACACCAGUGGCGAAAGCGGCUCUCUGGUCUGUAACUGACGCUGAGGUUCGAAAGCGUGGGUAGCAAACAGGAUUAGAUACCCUGGUAGUCCACGCCGUAAACGAUGAAUGCUAGGUGUUGGAGGGUUUCCGCCCUUCAGUGCCGCAGCUAACGCAAUAAGCAUUCCGCCUGGGGAGUACGACCGCAAGGUUG
This 550-nucleotide ribosomal RNA is filed under the name uncultured bacterium. RNAcentral describes it as "bacterial SSU rRNA". It matches the Rfam family "Bacterial small subunit ribosomal RNA", at positions 355 to 896 of the family's 1533-position model. The record is from RNAcentral.